This 253-nucleotide ribosomal RNA is filed under the name uncultured bacterium. RNAcentral's name for it is "partial 16S ribosomal RNA". It matches the Rfam family "Bacterial small subunit ribosomal RNA", at positions 524 to 776 of the family's 1533-position model. The record is from RNAcentral.
UACGUAGGGGGCUAGCGUUGUCCGGAAUCAUUGGGCGUAAAGAGCGUGUAGGCGGCCCGGUAAGUCCGCUGUGAAAGUCGGGGGCUCAACCCUCGAAUGCCGGUGGAUACUGUCGGGCUAGAGUGCGGAAGAGGCGAGUGGAAUUCCUGGUGUGGCGGUGAAAUGCGCAGAUAUCAGGAGGAACACCGAUUGCGAAGGCAGCUCGCUGGGACGUCACUGACGCUGAGACGCGAAAGCGUGGGGAGCAAACAGG